AUGAACGCUGGCGGCGUGCCUAAUACAUGCCAGUCGCGCGAACAGACGAGGAGCUUGCUCCUCUGACGUUAGCGGCGGACGGGUUAGUAACACGUGGAUAACCUACCUAUAAGACUGGGAUAACUUCGGGAAACCGGAGCUAAUACCGGAUAACAUGUUGAACCGCAUGGUUCAACAGUGAAAGACGGUCUUGCUGUCACUUAUAGAUGGAUCCGCGCCGCAUUAGCUAGUUGGUAAGGUAACGGCUUACCAAGGCAACGAUGCGUAGCCGACCUGAGAGGGUGAUCGGCCACACUGGAACUGAGACACGGUCCAGACUCCUACGGGAGGCAGCAGUAGGGAAUCUUCCGCAAUGGGCGAAAUCCUGACGGAGCAACGCCGCGUGAGUGAAGAAGGUCUUCGGAUCGUAAAACUCUGUUAUUAGGGAAGAACAAAUGUGUAAGUAACUAUGCACGUCUUGACGGUACCUAAUCAGAAAGCCACGGCUAACUACGUG
Molecule: ribosomal RNA, 496 nt
Filed under: uncultured bacterium
Lineage: Bacteria
Description: partial 16S ribosomal RNA
Rfam family: Bacterial small subunit ribosomal RNA
Source: RNAcentral